Molecule: transfer RNA, 73 nt
Filed under: Sus scrofa (pig)
Lineage: Eukaryota; Metazoa; Chordata; Mammalia; Artiodactyla; Suidae
Rfam family: tRNA
About the family: Transfer RNA (tRNA) molecules are approximately 80 nucleotides in length. Their secondary structure includes four short double-helical elements and three loops (D, anti-codon, and T loops).
Source: Rfam by way of RNAcentral
UCCCUGGUGGCCUAGUGGUUAAGGAUCCAGCAUUGUCACUGCUGUGGCGUGGGUUCAAUCCCUGGCCUGGGAA